UACGGCCAUAUCACGUUGAAACAUUGGUUCUGGUAUGAUCACCAAAGUUAAGCAACAUCGAGCCUGGUCAGUAUCUAGAUGGGUGACCAUUUGGGAAUACUAGGUGCUGUAAG
Molecule: non-coding RNA, 113 nt
Organism: Acanthosepion pharaonis
Lineage: Eukaryota; Metazoa; Mollusca; Cephalopoda; Sepiida; Sepiidae
Source: the annotation of a GenBank genome assembly